Molecule: ribosomal RNA, 1156 nt
Filed under: Ralstonia solanacearum
Lineage: Bacteria; Pseudomonadati; Pseudomonadota; Betaproteobacteria; Burkholderiales; Burkholderiaceae
Description: bacterial SSU rRNA
Rfam family: Bacterial small subunit ribosomal RNA
Source: RNAcentral
GAGGCGCUGCCUUACACAUGCAAGUCGAACGGCAGCGGGGGUAGCUUGCUACCUGCCGGCGAGUGGCGAACGGGUGAGUAAUACAUCGGAACGUGCCCUGUAGUGGGGGAUAACUAGUCGAAAGACUAGCUAAUACCGCAUACGACCUGAGGGUGAAAGUGGGGGACCGCAAGGCCUCAUGCUAUAGGAGCGGCCGAUGUCUGAUUAGCUAGUUGGUGGGGUAAAGGCCCACCAAGGCGACGAUCAGUAGCUGGUCUGAGAGGACGAUCAGCCACACUGGGACUGAGACACGGCCCAGACUCCUACGGGAGGCAGCAGUGGGGAAUUUUGGACAAUGGGGGCAACCCUGAUCCAGCAAUGCCGCGUGUGUGAAGAAGGCCUUCGGGUUGUAAAGCACUUUUGUCCGGAAAGAAAUCGCUUCGGUUAAUACCUGGAGUGGAUGACGGUACCGGAAGAAUAAGGACCGGCUAACUACGUGCCAGCAGCCGCGGUAAUACGUAGGGUCCAAGCGUUAAUCGGAAUUACUGGGCGUAAAGCGUGCGCAGGCGGUUGUGCAAGACCGAUGUGAAAUCCCCGGGCUUAACCUGGGAAUUGCAUUGGUGACUGCACAGCUAGAGUGUGUCAGAGGGAGGUAGAAUUCCACGUGUAGCAGUGAAAUGCGUAGAGAUGUGGAGGAAUACCGAUGGCGAAGGCAGCCUCCUGUGAUAACACUGACGCUCAUGCACGAAAGCGUGAGGAGCAGACAGGAUUAGAUACCCUGGUAGUCCACGCCCUAAACGAUGUCAACUAGUUGUUGGGGAUUCAUUUCCUUAGUAACGUAGCUAACGCGUGAAGUUGACCGCCUGGCGAGUACGGUCGCAAGAUUAAAACUCAAAGGAAUUGACUGGGACCCGCACAAGCGGUGGAUGAUGUGGAUUAAUUCGAUGCAACGCGAGAGACCUUACCUACCCUUGACAUGCCACUAACGAAGCAGAAAUGCAUUAAGUGCUCGAAAGAGAAAUGGACUCAGGUGCUGCAUGGCUGUCAUCAGCUCCUGUCUGAGAUGUUGGGUUAAGUCCCGCACUAACGCAACCCUUGCUCUAUUUGCUACGAAAGGCCUNUAGAAGAAUGCCCGGAACAACCCGACGAAGGAGGGNUGACCUCAAUCCUCUCGCCU